UGACUGCGUACCUUUUGUAUAAUGGGUCAGCGACUUAUAUUCUGUAGCAAGGUUAACCGAAUAGGGGAGCCGAAGGGAAACCGAGUCUUAACUGGGCGUUAAGUUGCAGGGUAUAGACCCGAAACCCGGUGAUCUAGCCAUGGGCAGGUUGAAGGUUGGGUAACACUAACUGGAGGACCGAACCGACUAAUGUUGAAAAAUUAGCGGAUGACUUGUGGCUGGGGGUGAAAGGCCAAUCAAACCGGGAGAUAGCUGGUUCUCCCCGAAAGCUAUUUAGGUAGCGCCUCGUGAAUUCAUCUCCGGGGGUAGAGCACUGUUUCGGCAAGGGGGUCAUCCCGACUUACCAACCCGAUGCAAACUGCGAAUACCGGAGAAUGUUAUCACGGGAGACACACGGCGGGUGCUAACGUCCGUCGUGAAGAGGGAAACAACCCAGACCGCCAGCUAAGGUCCCAAAGUCAUGGUUAAGUGGGAAACGAUGUGGGAAGGCCCAGACAGCCAGGAUGUUGGCUUAGAAGCAGCCAUCAUUUAAAGAAAGCGUAAUAGCUCACUGGUCGAGUCGGCCUGCGCGGAAGAUGUAACGGGGCUAAACCAUGCACCGAAGCUGCGGCAGCGACGCUUAUGCGUUGUUGGGUAGGGGAGCGUUCUGUAAGCCUGCGAAGGUGUGCUGUGAGGCAUGCUGGAGGUAUCAGAAGUGCGAAUGCUGACAUAAGUAACGAUAAAGCGGGUGAAAAGCCCGCUCGCCGGAAGACCAAGGGUUCCUGUCCAACGUUAAUCGGGGCAGGGUGAGUCGACCCCUAAGGCGAGGCCGAAAGGCGUAGUCGAUGGGAAACAGGUUAAUAUUCCUGUACUUGGUGUUACUGCGAAGGGGGGACGGAGAAGGCUAUGUUGGCCGGGCGACGGUUGUCCCGGUUUAAGCGUGUAGGCUGGUUUUCCAGGCAAAUCCGGAAAAUCAAGGCUGAGGCGUGAUGACGAGGCACUACGGUGCUGAAGCAACAAAUGCCCUGCUUCCAGGAAAAGCCUCUAAGCAUCAGGUAACAUCAAAUCGUACCCCAAACCGACACAGGUGGUCAGGUAGAGAAUACCAAGGCGCUUGAGAGAACUCGGGUGAAGGAACUAGGCAAAAUGGUGCCGUAACUUCGGGAGAAGGCACGCUGAUAUGUAGGUGAAGUCCCUCGCGGAUGGAGCUGAAAUCAGUCGAAGAUACCAGCUGGCUGCAACUGUUUAUUAAAAACACAGCACUGUGCAAACACGAAAGUGGACGUAUACGGUGUGACGCCUGCCCGGUGCCGGAAGGUUAAUUGAUGGGGUUAGCGCAAGCGAAGCUCUUGAUCGAAGCCCCGGUAAACGGCGGCCGUAACUAUAACGGUCCUAAGGUAGCGAAAUUCCUUGUCGGGUAAGUUCCGACCUGCACGAAUGGCGUAAUGAUGGCCAGGCUG
Molecule: ribosomal RNA, 1439 nt
Filed under: Escherichia coli
Lineage: Bacteria; Pseudomonadati; Pseudomonadota; Gammaproteobacteria; Enterobacterales; Enterobacteriaceae
Description: partial 23S ribosomal RNA
Rfam family: Bacterial large subunit ribosomal RNA
Source: RNAcentral